This 253-nucleotide ribosomal RNA is filed under the name uncultured bacterium. Its description in RNAcentral is "partial 16S ribosomal RNA". It matches the Rfam family "Bacterial small subunit ribosomal RNA", at positions 524 to 776 of the family's 1533-position model. The record is from RNAcentral.
UACGGAGGGUGCAAGCGUUACCCGGAUUUACUGGGUUUAAAGGGUGCGUAGGUGGGUAGGAAAGUCAGUGGUGAAAUCUUCGGGCUUAACCCGGAAACUGCCAUUGAUACUAUUUAUCUUGAAUACUUUGGAGGUAAGCGGAAUAUGUCAUGUAGCGGUGAACUGCUUAGAUAUGACAUAGAACACCAAUUGCGAAGGCAGCUUACUACACAGUUAUUGACACUGAGGCACGAAAGCGUGGGGAUCAAACAGG